RNAcentral lists this transfer RNA (19 nucleotides) under Glyphomitrium humillimum. Its description in RNAcentral is "tRNA-Thr". The record is from RNAcentral. Lineage: Eukaryota; Viridiplantae; Streptophyta; Bryopsida; Dicranales; Rhabdoweisiaceae.
AGCCCGCUAUCGGAGUCGA